UCGUCGGUAUAUGGUUAUAAACACUCGGCGAAAUACUGAACAUUCACCGAUAUUGCACACGGGAUUACAGCGUACGAAGUGAAGGCUAAUUCAUCAUGAUCCGUCGAAACAUCAUUCAGAUGACCUUUGUAAUCAUUGUUGUUCUUCUCGCGUCGCUGAAUACAGCUGAGGCAGGAAGGCUUAAGAAUCUUGCAAGGGCCGCGCUACUCGGAGCCGCUAUCGCUCCACGAUUCGUGCCUGUACCUAUCCCACAUCAUGUAUACCCUAAGCAAGAUGACGGCUGGAAUCACGGUUGGGAACAGCACGACCAAGAACACUCUCAAAGAUGGGACCACUAUGACAACGGAUGGAAUUAAAUUUGAAAGAAUUACAUUGCGCUUCCGGAGAUUCUCAACAGGUUUGUGUGUACCCUCGAAACAAGGCUGCGAUCAUAUUUGAGCACCGGCUACUGAGCAAAAUUACUGGGAAUCGGGAUUCAACUCAACUGAUUGGCAUUCACACGAUUGCUCUUAUUUUCCAACUAAAGACGUAUACCUGUCGAGGUGUACAGGGAAACAAUCCAGCUGACAGCAUGUGUAUAAUAUCUCCAACGAAAACGGACUGUGUAUCAAGGUCAUAGAAGAUAUUCAACGUUUGCGAGCCCUAAUUGCAACACAAUCAUCGUACGGCCGUAAUAAGGCAUAGCUCAUUUAUUCCCGCCCACACAACUACUGGUCACGAUCCACUGAGCACCCCAGGAGAUCCCGUAGGCUUGAUACCCAUUUCAAUGAAACGAUAACCAUUGUCGUUCAUCUUGUAUAUAUAUUUGUUUAGAGUCUGUCACCUUAAUUUCGUGUUGACGUGCCAUGUUUAUAUCACCUUCUAUUGUGUAUGUCGUGGGAAAAAAAGGCUUUUGUAAAUAUUUAUUAAAUGUUUGUGCCAAUUGCGUAUCGUUCGGGGAAAUGAAACCAGAACAAUGUGAAUGAUUUUGUCACGUUUUAUACGAUAUGAACAUAGCUUGUAUUUAUCGUAUGUGCUUGUAUGUGUGUUUCGUAUAUAAAUGUAUAUAUGUGUAUAGGUUUUCCACAAACUGUGUCUUCGCACGAUGGGAUACUAAUGAGAGGUAACCAAAUCGGUUGAAUGUUAAGUCCCUAUUGUUCAAAAAAUGGCAGUGGUUCAGGAAGACAAUAACAUGUGUUUGUAUAUAAAUGCUUGUAAAAAAACGUCGCAGAAUGUUGCCAAUAAACGUACACGUUAAAUCGAACAAACAAUAUGAUAU
Varroa destructor (honeybee mite) is the source of this 1258-nucleotide long non-coding RNA. RefSeq lists it as uncharacterized. The record is from RefSeq and is a predicted model, not a curated record. Lineage: Eukaryota; Metazoa; Arthropoda; Arachnida; Mesostigmata; Varroidae.